UGGCGGCGUGCUUAACACAUGCAAGUCGAACGGAUUGGCCCUGCUUUUGUGGGGUGCUCGAGUGGCGAACGGGUGAGUAACACGUGAGUAACCUGCCCUUGACUUUGGGAUAACUUCAGGAAACUGGGGCUAAUACCGGAUAGGAGCUCCUGCUGCAUGGUGGGGGUUGGAAAGUUUCGGCGGUUGGGGAUGGACUCGCGGCUUAUCAGCUUGUUGGUGGGGUAGUGGCUUACCAAGGCUUUGACGGGUAGCCGGCCUGAGAGGGUGACCGGCCACAUUGGGACUGAGAUACAGCCCAGACUCCUACGGGAGGCAGCAGUGGGGAAUAUUGCACAAUGGGCGGAAGCCUGAUGCAGCAACGCCGCGUGCGGGAUGACGGCCUUCGGGUUGUAAACCGCUUUCGCCUGUGACGAAGCGUGAGUGACGGUAAUGGGUAAAGAAGCACCGGCUAACUACGUGCCAGCAGCCGCGGUGAUACGUAGGGUGCGAGCGUUGUCCGGAUUUAUUGGGCGUAAAGGGCUCGUAGGUGGUUGAUCGCGUCGGAAGUGUAAUCUUGGGGCUUAACCCUGAGCGUGCUUUCGAUACGGGUUGACUUGAGGAAGGUAGGGGAGAAUGGAAUUCCUGGUGGAGCGGUGGAAUGCGCAGAUAUCAGGAGGAACACCAGUGGCGAAGGCGGUUCUCUGGGCCUUUCCUGACGCUGAGGAGCGAAAGCGUGGGGAGCGAACAGGCUUAGAUACCCUGGUAGUCCACGCUGUAAACGGUGGGUACUAGGUGUGGGGUCCAUUCCACGGGUUCCGUGCCGUAGCUAACGCUUUAAGUACCCCGCCUGGGGAGUACGGCCGCAAGGCUAAAACCCAAAGGAAUUGACGGGGCCCCGCACAAGCGGCGGAGCAUGCGGAUUAAUUCGAUGCAACGCGUAGAACCUUACCUGGGUUUGACAUGGAUCGGGAGUGCUCAGAGAUGGGUGUGCCUCUUUUGGGGUCGGUUCACAGGUGGUGCAUGGCUGUCGUCAGCUCGUGUCGUGAGAUGUUGGGUUAAGUCCCGCAACGAGCGCAACCCUUGUUCACUGUUGCCAGCACGUUAUGGUGGGGACUCAGUGGAGACCGCCGGGGUCAACUCGGAGGAAGGUGGGGAUGACGUCAAGUCAUCAUGCCCCUUAUGUCCAGGGCUUCACGCAUGCUACAAUGGCUGGUACAGAGAGUGGCGAGCCUGUGAGGGUGAGCGAAUCUCGGAAAGCCGGUCUCAGUUCGGAUUGGGGUCUGCAACUCGACCUCAUGAAGUCGGAGUCGCUAGUAAUCGCAGAUCAGCAACGCUGCGGUGAAUACGUUCCCGGGGCUUGUACACACCGCCCGUCAAGUCAUGAAAGUUGGUAACACCCGAAGCCAAUGGCCUAACCGUUGUGGGGGAGCCGUCGAAGGGGGA
This 1422-nucleotide ribosomal RNA is filed under the name uncultured organism. RNAcentral's name for it is "partial small subunit ribosomal RNA". It matches the Rfam family "Bacterial small subunit ribosomal RNA". The record is from RNAcentral.